UUAUCCAAAUUAUUAAAGUAAAAGAAAGAAAAAAUUAGUUCACGUCUCUGCCGUACAAGAAGCCAUGGCAUUCGCCAUUCUGUAUUAACGUUCAAUCCUGUUCAAUUCUCAGAGUUCUUCAUUGAUCCCCCAGUGCUUCAACAAUCAUGCCUCAAUUUCGUUUUACACUCUCCAAAUUCAAAUCUCCUAAGAAAUCGCUUUCUACUUCAUCUUCUUCCAUUUAUUACCUACGCGCCAAUGCCUCAACUUCUCCACCUCAAUUCUCUCAUUUCAUCUCCAAGUUCACUCAAAGACAACCAAAUGUGGCAAAUCCUUCAAAAUUUCCAUCUGGGUAUUUCUCACAUUGUCAUCAGCAUCGAUAUUCCAGCUUCUCCGGGUGCCAUGGUGAAUUUAACCGCGUUUUUACUAAUGGGAAUCGGCUGAAAUACUAUGAUUUAAGAGGUUACCGAAGAGGAAAAGUUUGGAGUUGCUUGAACAUGGUCAGGAGAUUUAGUAGUGGGGCGGAACGAGAGUCUAUAGAAUAUGAUGUUGUCAUCAUUGGAGCCGGACCUGCUGGGUUAUCUGCGGCGAUUCGGUUGAAGCAAAUGUGUCAAGAAAAGGGUGUUGAUUUAUCGGUUUGUGUAGUGGAGAAAGGCGCUGAAGUUGGCGCUCACAUCCUCUCCGGAAAUGUUUUUGAACCCCGAGCAUUGGAUGAACUAAUCCCCACAUGGAAAGAGGAUGAGGCACCAAUCAAUGUCCCUGUGACUUCUGAUAAGUUUUGGUUUCUAACAAAAAAUCGUGCCUUUUCACUUCCUUGUCCCUUUAAUAAUGAAGGAAACUAUGUGAUAAGUUUAAGUCAGUUAGUUCGUUGGAUGGGAAUGAAAGCUGAAGAGCUGGGGGUAGAAAUAUAUCCAGGCUUUGCUGCUAGUGAGGUGUUAUAUGAUACAACUGACGCUGUUAUUGGCAUUAGAACUAAUGACAUGGGAGUAGCAAAAGAUGGCUCAAAGAAGGAUAAUUAUCAACUUGGUGUAGAACUGAGAGGGCGCAUAACGCUUCUGGCUGAGGGAUGUCGAGGAUCAAUAUCAGAGAAAUUAAUAAAAAAAUACAGUUUGAGGAAGAAGGUAAAUGCUCAGCAUCAGACGUAUGCUUUGGGGAUCAAAGAGGUGUGGGAAAUAGACGAGGGCAAACAUGAUCCAGGAGCUGUGCUGCAUACUUUGGGUUGGCCUUUGGACCGUAAGACGUAUGGAGGCUCAUUUUUGUACCACAUGAAGGAUAGACAGAUUUCAAUCGGCCUCGUAGUUGCUUUAAAUUAUCAGAAUCCUUUCUUGAAUCCUUAUGAAGAAUUUCAGAAAUUAAAACACCAUCCUGCCAUCAAAGAUCUUCUAGAAGGUGGGACAGUUGUGCAAUAUGGGGCUCGAACAUUAAAUGAAGGCGGUCUUCAGUCUGUUCCAUAUCCAGUUUUCCCGGGAGGAGCAAUUAUUGGAUGUUCAGCUGGCUUUUUAAAUGUACCCAAGAUUAAGGGAACGCAUACUGCAAUGAAGUCAGGAAUGCUGGCAGCUGAGGCUGCAUUUGCCACACUUCAUAGAGCCUCAAAAAUGGAUGUGUAUUGGGAUAGUUUGCAAAGUAGUUGGAUAUGGGAAGAACUUUAUCGAGCUCGGAACUAUAGACCUGCAUUUGAGCAUGGUCUUAUCCCUGGCUUGACAAUAAGUGCUCUGGAGCACUACGUGCUUAAAGGAAGGUCUCCUCUCACACUAAAGCAUGGGAAACCUGACCAUGAAGCUACAAACGUUGCAAGUUUACAUACUCCAAUUGAUUAUCCAAAGCCUGAUAAUCUUUUGUCAUUUGAUGUGCCAACCUCACUACACAGGAGCAACACAAAUCAUGAACAUGAUCAGCCAGCUCACCUUCGCUUAAGGGACGCCAGGAUUCCCGAGGAAGUAAAUUUGAAAGAAUAUGCUGCACCAGAGUCAAGAUAUUGUCCUGCCCGCGUAUACGAGUAUAUACCUGAUGAAAACGACCAAAUGAAGUUGCAGAUUAAUGCUCAAAAUUGUCUUCAUUGCAAGACAGGAAGAAUGUAGGGGAACUGUCUUUUUCUGCAUGCAGCUUUAGUUAUGCAUUUUAAGCUUUUUACCCCUGGGAAGCUUCAUCAAGAAUGUAUUUAUGUGUUUGGGGAGCAAGGGAAGAGCUGCAGGAGUAGGGGAACUGAAGGCAGUAUUAAAUUGGAAAAAAAAUCAUUGGAAGGUCUCAGCUUGUGAUAUUAAAGAUCCAAAACAAAACAUAGAGUGGAGCGUUCCGGAAGGAGGUGGCGGUCCAGGCUACUCCGUCAUGUAAAUAUGUAAUAUAGAAUGAUGUGGGAUUCUUUGAGGAUAAAUGAGAUCCUGCCUUGAACUCUUCUGCUCAAAGGGAAAAGGCUUCAUCUUUUACCAAUAAAGCAAACCGUUGAUUCAUUGUUAACA
RNA transcript from Cucumis sativus (cucumber), 2435 nucleotides. It is a transcript of the gene named electron transfer flavoprotein-ubiquinone oxidoreductase, mitochondrial, with no coding region annotated. Lineage: Eukaryota; Viridiplantae; Streptophyta; Magnoliopsida; Cucurbitales; Cucurbitaceae. The record is from RefSeq and is a predicted model, not a curated record. The transcript has 19 exons.